This 883-nucleotide ribosomal RNA is filed under the name Cytobacillus citreus. RNAcentral describes it as "partial 23S ribosomal RNA". It matches the Rfam family "Bacterial large subunit ribosomal RNA", at positions 2191 to 2925 of the family's 2925-position model. The record is from RNAcentral. Lineage: Bacteria; Bacillati; Bacillota; Bacilli; Caryophanales; Bacillaceae.
GGUGGGAUACUACCCUGGCUGUAUUGAAAUUCUAACCCGCACCCCUGAUCGGGGUGGGAGACAGUGUCAGGUGGGCAGUUUGACUGGGGCGGUCGCCUCCUAAAAAGUAACGGAGGCGCCCAAAGGUUCCCUCAGAAUGGUUGGAAAUCAUUCGAAGAGUGUAAAGGCAUAAGGGAGCUUGACUGCGAGACCUACAAGUCGAGCAGGGACGAAAGUCGGGCUUAGUGAUCCGGUGGUUCCGCAUGGAAGGGCCAUCGCUCAACGGAUAAAAGCUACCCCGGGGAUAACAGGCUUAUCUCCCCCAAGAGUCCACAUCGACGGGGAGGUUUGGCACCUCGAUGUCGGCUCAUCGCAUCCUGGGGCUGUAGUCGGUCCCAAGGGUUGGGCUGUUCGCCCAUUAAAGCGGUACGCGAGCUGGGUUCAGAACGUCGUGAGACAGUUCGGUCCCUAUCCGUCGUGGGCGCAGGAAAUUUGAGAGGAGCUGUCCUUAGUACGAGAGGACCGGGAUGGACGCACCGCUGGUGUACCAGUUGUUCUGCCAAGAGCAUCGCUGGGUAGCUAUGUGCGGAAGGGAUAAGUGCUGAAAGCAUCUAAGCAUGAAGCCCCCCUCGAGAUGAGAUUUCCCAUAGCGUCAAGCUAGUAAGACCCCUGAAAGAUGAUCAGGUUGAUAGGUUUGAGGUGGAAGCGUGGUGACACGUGGNNNNNNNNNNUGCGGAAGGGAUAAGUGCUGAAAGCAUCUAAGCAUGAAGCCCCCCUCGAGAUGAGAUUUCCCAUAGCGUCAAGCUAGUAAGACCCCUGAAAGAUGAUCAGGUUGAUAGGUUUGAGGUGGAAGCGUGGCGACACGUGGAGCUGACAAAUACUAAUCGGUCGAGGACUUAACCAA